This 525-nucleotide ribosomal RNA is filed under the name Duganella aquatilis. RNAcentral describes it as "bacterial SSU rRNA". It matches the Rfam family "Bacterial small subunit ribosomal RNA", at positions 463 to 988 of the family's 1533-position model. Lineage: Bacteria; Pseudomonadati; Pseudomonadota; Betaproteobacteria; Burkholderiales; Oxalobacteraceae. The record is from RNAcentral.
CGGCUCAUGACGGUACCUGAAGAAUAAGCACCGGCUAACUACGUGCCAGCAGCCGCGGUAAUACGUAGGGUGCAAGCGUUAAUCGGAAUUACUGGGCGUAAAGCGUGCGCAGGCGGUUUUGUAAGUCUGUUGUGAAAUCCCCGGGCUCAACCUGGGAAUGGCAAUGGAGACUGCAAGGCUAGAGUUUGGCAGAGGGGGGUAGAAUUCCACGUGUAGCAGUGAAAUGCGUAGAUAUGUGGAGGAACACCGAUGGCGAAGGCAGCCCCCUGGGUCAAAACUGACGCUCAUGCACGAAAGCGUGGGGAGCAAACAGGAUUAGAUACCCUGGUAGUCCACGCCCUAAACGAUGUCUACUAGUUGUCGGGUCUUAAUUGACUUGGUAACGCAGCUAACGCGUGAAGUAGACCGCCUGGGGAGUACGGUCGCAAGAUUAAAACUCAAAGGAAUUGACGGGGACCCGCACAAGCGGUGGAUGAUGUGGAUUAAUUCGAUGCAACGCGAAAAACCUUACCUACCCUUGACAUG